GUUUUUGUUGGGCUGUUUCUGCAAUCGAAAUUGAUUGUCUUGGGUCCUUGAAACUAGUAAUAAAUUGCCUGAAUAGUAAUUGGGCAUUGCUUUUUUUCAGUGAAUACUUUUUCUGCUGAUAUUCUGUAUGGACGUUAUGAUUUAGAAACCUAUGAAUGGAUGUUAUUAUUCAGAGUCUCAAAAGCCCAGUGAUAAAGGAUUGGGAUCUCCCUCAAAUUUGAAUCCUGCUGGGUGGGGUGAGAUGAGAUGAGAGGCAUUACCAGAACUUCAAUUGAAAGUGGAUAUGCUUAUCUUUUUGUUCCUUUAAACAUGG
This 313-nucleotide unclassified non-coding RNA is filed under the name Hevea brasiliensis (rubber tree). Lineage: Eukaryota; Viridiplantae; Streptophyta; Magnoliopsida; Malpighiales; Euphorbiaceae. The record is from RNAcentral.